GAUGAACGCUGGGGCGUGCCUAAUCCAUGCCAGUCGAGCGAACGGACGAGAAGCUUGCUUCUCUGAUGUUAGCGGCGGACGGGUGAGUAACACGUGGAUAACCUACCUAUAAGACUGGGAUAACUUCGGGAAACCGGAGCUAAUACCGGAUAAUAUUUUGAACCGCAUGGUUCAAAAGUGAAAGACGGUCUUGCUGUCACUUAUAGAUGGAUCCGCGCUGCAUUAGCUAGUUGGUAAGGUAACGGCUUACCAAGGCAACGAUGCAUAGCCGACCUGAGAGGGUGAUCGGCCACACUGGAACUGAGACACGGUCCAGACUCCUACGGGAGGCAGCAGUAGGGAAUCUUCCGCAAUGGGCGAAAGCCUGACGGAGCAACGCCGCGUGAGUGAUGAAGGUCUUCGGAUCGUAAAACUCUGUUAUUAGGGAAGAACAUAUGUGUAAGUAACUGUGCACAUCUUGACGGUACCUAAUCAGAAAGCCACGGCUAACUACGUG
This 496-nucleotide ribosomal RNA is filed under the name uncultured bacterium. Its description in RNAcentral is "partial 16S ribosomal RNA". It matches the Rfam family "Bacterial small subunit ribosomal RNA", at positions 28 to 507 of the family's 1533-position model. The record is from RNAcentral.